UUUUGGAUAUAUUUUUGAUAUAUUCCGCAUAGACCUAAUUUUUGAUAUAUUUUUAAAGAACUAAGUAGCAUGCAUAUGUACUCUUUCCCGUUUUUUUAAAGGAAAGAAAGUCGAUUACCAUUCAACAAGACAGGGAACUGCCUUGUAAUUUCAGUUCAGGAUUUUUUUUAAUGAAACGUUCAAUCAAACUUUUCACUAUCUUUGAGAACUAGUAAUUAACAUAAAACUAUUUGUCGGGUCAAAAAACAUAAAACUAUUUAAACUUGUUAGGUGGAACAGUACCAUAUAUUUGUCGCACAAAAUAGUUAGAUUCGCAAUAUAAAUAUUUUGUAUCAUUUCUCCUAAGUAUUCAUACAAAAGGUAAUAAUCUACUGAAGAUGGUCGAAA
RNAcentral lists this long non-coding RNA (387 nucleotides) under Brachypodium distachyon (stiff brome). RNAcentral's name for it is "long non-coding RNA (BDIS_LNC004818)". Lineage: Eukaryota; Viridiplantae; Streptophyta; Magnoliopsida; Poales; Poaceae. The record is from RNAcentral.